RNAcentral lists this ribosomal RNA (445 nucleotides) under uncultured bacterium. Its description in RNAcentral is "bacterial SSU rRNA". It matches the Rfam family "Bacterial small subunit ribosomal RNA", at positions 354 to 796 of the family's 1533-position model. The record is from RNAcentral.
GUGAGGAAUAUUGCGCAAUGGAGGCAACUCUGACGCAGCCAUGCCGCGUGCAGGAAGAAGGCGCUACGCGUUGUAAACUGCUUUUAACCGGGAAGAAACCCCAGGACGUGUCCUGGGUUGACGGUACCGGAGGAAUAAGCACCGGCUAACUUCGUGCCAGCAGCCGCGGUAAUACGAAGGGUGCAAGCGUUAUCCGGAUUCAUUGGGUUUAAAGGGUGCGUAGGCGGAGCGUUAAGUCAGUGGUGAAAUCCUGCAGCUUAACUGUAGACUUGCAAUUGAUACUGGCGCGCUUGAGUGCGCUUGAAGUGGGCGGAAUGUGCCGUGUAGCGGUGAAAUGCUUAGAUAUGGCACAGAACACCAAUUGCGAAGGCAGCUCACUAAGGCGAUACUGACGCUGAGGCACGAAAGCGUGGGGAUCGAACAGGAUUAGAUACCCUGGUAGUCC